RNAcentral lists this ribosomal RNA (465 nucleotides) under uncultured bacterium. RNAcentral describes it as "partial 16S ribosomal RNA". It matches the Rfam family "Bacterial small subunit ribosomal RNA", at positions 28 to 507 of the family's 1533-position model. The record is from RNAcentral.
GACGAACGCUGGCGGCGUGCUUAACACAUGCAAGUCGAACGGAAAGGCCCUGCUUGCAGGGUACUCGAGUGGCGAACGGGUGAGUAACACGUGGGUGAUCUGCCCUGCACUUCGGGAUAAGCUUGGGAAACUGGGUCUAAUACCGGAUAGGAGCCAUCUUUAGUGUGGUGGUUGGAAAGUUUUUUCGGUGUAGGAUGAGCUCGCGGCCUAUCAGCUUGUUGGUGGGGUAAUGGCCUACCAAGGCGGCGACGGGUAGCCGGCCUGAGAGGGUGUACGGCCACAUUGGGACUGAGAUACGGCCCAGACUCCUACGGGAGGCAGCAGUGGGGAAUAUUGCACAAUGGGCGCAAGCCUGAUGCAGCGACGCCGCGUGGGGGAUGAAGGCCUUCGGGUUGUAAACGCCUUUCGCUAGGGACGAAGCUUUUUGUGACGGUACCUAGAUAAGAAGCACCGGCUAACUACGUG